This 641-nucleotide ribosomal RNA is filed under the name Escherichia coli. RNAcentral describes it as "bacterial SSU rRNA". It matches the Rfam family "Bacterial small subunit ribosomal RNA", at positions 903 to 1533 of the family's 1533-position model. Lineage: Bacteria; Pseudomonadati; Pseudomonadota; Gammaproteobacteria; Enterobacterales; Enterobacteriaceae. RNAcentral also lists the same sequence under 1 other name. The record is from RNAcentral.
AAUGAAUUGACGGGGGCCCGCACAAGCGGUGGAGCAUGUGGUUUAAUUCGAUGCAACGCGAAGAACCUUACCUGGUCUUGACAUCCACGGAAGUUUUCAGAGAUGAGAAUGUGCCUUCGGGAACCGUGAGACAGGUGCUGCAUGGCUGUCGUCAGCUCGUGUUGUGAAAUGUUGGGUUAAGUCCCGCAACGAGCGCAACCCUUAUCCUUUGUUGCCAGCGGUCCGGCCGGGAACUCAAAGGAGACUGCCAGUGAUAAACUGGAGGAAGGUGGGGAUGACGUCAAGUCAUCAUGGCCCUUACGACCAGGGCUACACACGUGCUACAAUGGCGCAUACAAAGAGAAGCGACCUCGCGAGAGCAAGCGGACCUCAUAAAGUGCGUCGUAGUCCGGAUUGGAGUCUGCAACUCGACUCCAUGAAGUCGGAAUCGCUAGUAAUCGUGGAUCAGAAUGCCACGGUGAAUACGUUCCCGGGCCUUGUACACACCGCCCGUCACACCAUGGGAGUGGGUUGCAAAAGAAGUAGGUAGCUUAACCUUCGGGAGGGCGCUUACCACUUUGUGAUUCAUGACUGGGGUGAAGUCGUAACAAGGUAACCGUAGGGGAACCUGCGGUUGGAUCACCUCCUUACCUUAAAGAAGC